This 129-nucleotide ribosomal RNA is filed under the name Paenibacillus agaridevorans. Its description in RNAcentral is "partial 16S ribosomal RNA". It matches the Rfam family "Bacterial small subunit ribosomal RNA", at positions 413 to 534 of the family's 1533-position model. Lineage: Bacteria; Bacillati; Bacillota; Bacilli; Caryophanales; Paenibacillaceae. The record is from RNAcentral.
GGUUUUCGGAUCGUAAAGCUCUGUUGCCAGGGAAGAACGCUUGAGAGAGUAACUGCUCUCAAGGCGACGGUACCUGAGAAGAAAGCCCCGGCUAACUACGUGCCAGCAGCCGCGGUAAUACGUAGGGGG